GAUGAACGCUGGCGGCGUGCUUAACACAUGCAAGUCGAACGGAAAGGCUCCUGCUUGCAGGGGUACUCGAGUGGCGAACGGGUGAGUAACACGUGGGUGAUCUGCCCUGCACUUCGGGAUAAGCCUUGGAAACUGGGUCUAAUACCGGAUAGGACGAUGGUUUGGAUGCCAUUGUGGACAGUUUUUCGGUGUGGGAUGAGCUCGCGGCCUAUCAGCUUGUUGGUGGGGUAAUGGCCUACCAAGGCGUCGCCGGGUAGCCGGCCUGAGAGGGUGUACGGCCACAUUGGGACUGAGAGACGGACCAGACUCGUACGGGAGGCAGCAGUGGGGAAUAUUGCACAAUGGGCGCAAGCCUGAUGCAGCGACGCCGCGUGGGGGAUGACGGCCUUCGGGUUGUAAACUCCUUUCGCUAGGGACGAAGCGCAAGUGACGGUACCUGGAGAAGAAGCACCGGCUAACUACGUG
This 465-nucleotide ribosomal RNA is filed under the name uncultured bacterium. Its description in RNAcentral is "partial 16S ribosomal RNA". It matches the Rfam family "Bacterial small subunit ribosomal RNA", at positions 28 to 507 of the family's 1533-position model. The record is from RNAcentral.